This 5015-nucleotide long non-coding RNA is filed under the name Capra hircus (goat). RNAcentral describes it as "lncRNA (ENSCHIG00000001525.1)". The record is from RNAcentral. Lineage: Eukaryota; Metazoa; Chordata; Mammalia; Artiodactyla; Bovidae.
UUUCAACAUAUGAAUUUUGGGAGGGACUCAUUUAGUCCAUUGCAACCCCUGUGAGUUCACUUCUAGCUUAAGCCUUUUUGGGUUAGGUUGUCUGUUACUUAUUGCUUGAGGGAAUCUGUCUACUGGAAAGAGGGACUGCUACUAUUAACUUCCUUACCUAAUUCUCUUACUAGGACUGGACAGAAUCAGGACUACCAGUAUCAUUUUGCAAAAUUCACUUGCAAUCAUCGGUGACAGGAAGUCGGGUGGGAUUCUGAAGAAGAGCCAUGGCACCUCCCUGGUUCCAAUGUGUGGACAACCUGUACCAAAUGGCUUCUAGCAUCAUCACUCCUCUAUCUUCUGAGAUACAAUCACGUCUAAUCAAAGGCCAUAUUCUAAAGAUUGCUUUCAGGUGUUUUUUUUUUCCCCUAAACCUUUUAGUUAAACAGGCAAAACUCAACUUCUAUAAAACGGAUUGGAGUCAGUUCCCUUUUCUCUUACUUGGUACAAGCACUGAGAAGAGGACUGGAACAGAUGACAAGCAGCCUGCAAGAGAAAGAGGAGAGGCUGUGGGGCCUGCACCAGCUCAGAACAGGUCCUGGCAAUGUUCUCCAUUUUUCUAGCCUAGUCACUCUUUCCCUUCCGCAAUGUUCUCUAAACAGCUUCAACUGAUGACUUCAAAAUGAAGGUAAAUGUGUGGGGUGAGCCACAUGGAAAGCUGAAAUAAUUGGGAGCAUCCUGCGUCUCCUCCUGCUGCCGCCAAAUGCCUGUGUCGUUUGACUCCAUUCAAGCACAGAAUUGAGAUCUCUGAAAUACAUGCUGGCAUCAUUUGGGCUGAAUCUCUUGGAUUUGGAUAAUUUCUCAUAAUAACUCCAUUAUUCCCCUAAAGCAAGAAUAAGUGAGAUUUUUCAGUCACGGCUAUGAUAACUUUGAUUGCUGUUUAGUUCUGAAAAAUCAAAAAGCUUGGAAAGUCUGGUAUCCCUCUUCCAUUAAUGUGAAUACACCAAGGUCAUUGAAAGCCAACCACAGCAUGCCUACAUCUAUUCCUUGGUACCACUGAGCUGAUUUUGAUUUGUUUUCAUCAGUCUGUGAGACCAUUACUAUCCUGCUGUAUAAUUGAAUCGUUCUAUAUUAGCAUCAAGUUUUCUCAAAAUGCAUUUACCAACAGGGAGUGGGACAUUCAGUAGCAACAAUUAUCUGGGUAUAUUUCUCCCUAGCAACUUUUCUUAUGGAAUGUUCGACUUAUGUUGGAGAGUACAGUCUUUUAUUGAUAGCUUUUUAAUAAAUCCUGCUUUUCAAUUCCCUCUGAUCUCUCUAUCAUAGAUACCAAAAAUAAAAACCCAAUUUUUGGAAUGGAUGAGUUAGCAUAUGGCAGAUUUUCUGUGUAUGAUUGUCUCAAAUCUUUGAUCUCUGUAGUCCUUUCAUUUGGGGUUUUUAUAUAAAAUUGCCAUUGACCUUGCAAGUACCAGCUGUCCUCUUGAAAUAUGAGGCCGGUAAUGAUGAUACACAGUAUUGAUAAUAACAAAUGGUAGUUCAUAUUUCAGCUGAGUUGGACUUUUAUGCUCUGCUAUUAAACCCAAAGUAUUCAGUAUGAAUAGAAAAUAUUAAAAUGUAAUUCAACUGGAUGAUAUCUUCUUUUUGCUACUGAGCAGGACAUCUGGAAUUGAAACCUACAUUGAGUCUGCUCACAAAUCAGGUCAGAUCUGGCACUGGGGUUAGGUGACUCUCAAAUAGAAGAUCUGAAGUUCUUAUUUGGGGAGAUUGGAUUUUUAUCUAAGAUAGAGACCCUUUUAACAUGACUCUCAGCUCCAUCAUAGAUUGCAGGACAAAUUUACAAAACACUGGACUCUUUCACAGUUUAGAAUAAAAUUAAGCCAAAGCAGGGCCUUAGGAAUAGCAAACUAGCAAAUAAACAAAAUAAAAGAAAUUUGGAUUCAAAUUAAAUUAUUUUGACUAGAAAAGAGAAUGUUUCUCUACCCUGUCUUGAAAUGCUGAUCUCUGGUAAAGUUUUGCCUUUUUAAGCACAUCCUUAUAUGGAUCUUUCUUCCAGUCAUGAAGAGAUGUUCAUACUGCCUUGAUUAAAAAAAAAAAAUUUAUGGCAUGGAUAUAAAGAAAAAGGAUUUACAAAUGCUUAAUUUUUCUUUUUUUAACUAAAAAAAAGACCUUUGAUAUGUGAAAUUUAAUUUAAAUAAAUUAUACAAUGAAAUUAUUUACAAAACAGAAACAGACUUACAGAUAUCGAAAACAAACUUAUGCUUAGCAAAAGGGAACUGUGGGAAGGAGGGCUAUGCGCUUGGAAUUAACAUACACACACUAUUAUGUAUAAGACAGAUAACCAAUGGGAAAGACUUAGAAUAGGAGGAGAAAGGGACAACAGAGCAUAAGAUGGUUGGAUGGCAUCACCGACUCGAUGGACAUGAGUUUGAACAGCUCCAGAAGCUGGUGAUGGACAAGGAAGCCUGGCGUGCUGCAAUCUAUAGGAUCGCAGAGUCAGACACAACUGAGUGACUGAACUGAAUUGAACCAACAAGGACUUACUGUACAGCACAGAGAACUCUGCUCAAUAUUCUGUAAUAACCUAUAUGAGAAAAGAAUCUGAAAAAGAAUGAAUAUAUGUAUAACUCAAUCAUUUUGCUGUACACCUGAAAUGAGCACAAUGUUAGAAGUCAACUGUACUCCAAAAAAAAAAAAAAAAAAAAAUAGACCUUUGAGUAAGAGAAGUUCCUAAGGACUUAGCAUUUAACUGUUAACCAUUGUGAUGGAACUGGGAUAUGCCUUGGAUCUCCCUCCAAGGCAGGACUUGUGGCUCCUGCAGCUGGAAGUGCUUUGAGUCGAGAGCCUUCAGCUGUCAGCUCCUUCAGGAACUGCCCAGCGGCGGAGAACUACUUUAUUCAAGGUCACAACCUUUGUGAGACAGUCUACCUCGAAGGGUGCAUAAAGGCAGGAGUACAGUGAUCUGGUCCUUUUGUCUCAAUGCAGGACCCCUUUGACCAGCCAUUUUAAAUCCAGAGUUUCCCCACGGCACAAGGCAAGGCUGUCAGGUUACAAAGAAGCUUGUCUUCACUUUUGAGUCAAACCCCACCUCUCUCCCUCCUUGUCACAAGUAUGGAACCCAAAGGGAGACACCUAAUAAACAUCCUGCACACAGUGUCAGUUUCAGUAUCCAACCUGCAACAACGAUAAAACAGAAAACAGAGAGGAGUGAGAGGCAGAUGAUACUGUCUCUGAACAUUUCUGAUGAGAGUUUCCUGGACAGGGAAAGAGAGGAAAGCAUGAUGUGUGCUUGGGUGUGUGGGAGUGGGAGGAGUAAUGGUCUUAAACAACCGCAGAGGAGGUAAAAUUACCAAGACUCUGAACUAGAUGACCAGAUGGGAAAGAGAGAUUAAGUUCUGCUAUCAAUCGAGCAUGUGUAGGGUGGAAGUGGGGGUCUCCCACAUGACACCAAGCAAUUUUCACACACCAGCUGAGUGUCUCAGAACUCAUUUCAGUUCUAACAUCAUCUGCUGCGAGAGAACAUCGGAUUCCACAGGUCAAGUGUUCAGUCUUACAAGACUGGCCCUCACCACCGCCCCCCCCCCCAUGCCAGUUGUUAUCUGUGCUUCUGACCUAUCCUUCACAGCAUUUGCUACCAAAUAAAUAUUUGAUAAUUCCUCAGAGAAGUCUAGUCACUUAAUGAAAUAUACCUGCAGUCUUCUUUUAGCAGCCUGCUGGUUGUUUCCAUUCAACUCAACAAGCAAUUAUUUGUACCUGUGAUGUAAAGGUGCUAUGAACAGAAAAAAAGACAUGGGAGAUUUGAUCCUCUGCCAAGAGACCUGCAGUCAGCUGUAAAAAGAAAAGGCAUAAACACAUGGGAUGGGCAGUGAAUGAUCUAAGAAGGCUAUCAUUAAAUAGUACAGGGCUCUAGGACUUCCGAUAAAGGAGAGACCAAUAAAAAUUGGAUCCAGGAGGGAAGACUGAGGUGAAGAGACUCGAUCAGUGCCAGAGACAGAUAAGGGAGAAGAGGUACCUGAAUACUCCAGAAGAUAAAACAUUGAUGAGACCUGUGUGGUUUGAGCACAGAAUUUGCCCUUUCUGCCAAGAUGAAAAAUCUUUAUUGGGAAUUCUAACUCUUCACUACACAGGACAUCAGAUAACUUAAAACAACAAUUGAUGUAUUAAUUAUUGAUCUUUCAAAACUAUAUAGUACACAGUGCCCCCCCCAAUUUAAGAAAAAGUAUAUAAAUCCAGAUUAACUUUUUGUGUUAGAAUAAUCACUGAUAUUCAAAUUAGUGAAGAUAUUGAAAUAAAAUUGUUAAAAGUUGUUUGUUUGUUUUUUCUGGGAUUUUAUAAGGGGUUGAAAAGAUCUAGAAUCAUAGGUACUUAGUAGCUCCCUUUUUUGGGCCUCCACAACACUUUGUACUUAAAUCUUUUUCACACUAUGUAUUAUAAAAUAGAAGCUUAAAAAAAACAACUGACUUCCAUUUAACCAGGUUAAAUGGUACAUGAUGCUCUCUAUUCUGUCUGUGAAACGUGCUGACUGAUGCUUAUGACACUUACUGCUUACAAGAUUCUACUCUUCAAUUUGCCUUCACAAUAUUCACAUCAGUUGAGCUAUUUGCUUACCAAAAAUCAGUUGGGUUAAUUCCCAAAGCCCCUUAAUCUGUGAAAAUUAAUAAAAGGAAACUUCACUAAAAUGGAGUUGGGAGGCUAGAAGGGGGAUCACUCAACAUUAAUACAGAUCCCAACAGGAGGAGACAUACUUGGCACGUUCUGGAGGACCAAGCUGGAGGAAGAAAAAAAAUUUCUCCUCACCUGGCAACAGCUCAGCCAAUGAGACACUACCGCAACUCAGCCAAUGAAAAGCCAUUAUACUUCAAACUUCCAGUUUCCUGCAAUGGACGUUUUAUUUAUCAUAGCCCCUCGCAACUUAUUCUUCUCCUUUAUAAAAAAUUCUCUUCUCUUUAGUAGUUUUGCCUAGACUUGCUUGUGGUUCACCAUAGUUGUAUGUCUCUAGUUACAAUUCUAAAACUACUAUUUUUUAAUAAACCUGUUUCGCU